Non-coding RNA from Schistosoma haematobium, 45 nucleotides. The record is from Rfam. NCBI's taxonomy places the organism in Eukaryota, Metazoa, Platyhelminthes, Trematoda, Strigeidida, Schistosomatidae.
AUUCAGCUGACGAGUCCCAAACAGGACGAAACGCGCGUCCUGGCU